This 494-nucleotide long non-coding RNA is filed under the name Rosa chinensis. Its description in RNAcentral is "sRNA RchiOBHm_Chr2g0125541". The record is from RNAcentral. Lineage: Eukaryota; Viridiplantae; Streptophyta; Magnoliopsida; Rosales; Rosaceae.
GUUUCUUAUAUAUGUGAGCUAUUUGAUUGCCUCAAAAUAUUUUCUCUCACAUAUAAUUGAGUGAUUAUAAGCUUUUAAGCAUUGUCUUGAAUUCUGAGAGAAGAAAGAGUGGAUAUACCUUGUGAGGAUAUGAAUCAUACUUGUUCGAAGCAUGCUUAACAGAAACCAUCACCAUUGUCACAACCAAGUCCUACUUGUGAGAUUUCUGAGACAAAAAGUUGAAGGGCAAUAGAGUCAUUGUUUUUGUAGAGUCUUUAAUUUUCGUUGAGUGUUAGUGUGUGUCUUAGUGUGAUUUUGCUAAGGGACUAGCAAAAGCUAAGUGUGGGGGAAUUUGAUAGGAGCAUUUUAAUGCGACGUUUUACUUGCUUUUCCCUACAUUUCUUGCGUUAUUUCCUUAUUAAAACCCUGUUUAGGAAAGUUUUCAUUCUUUGAUUGGGAAAGUUCCUAUUUGUAGAAAGUUUCUAUUUUUAUAGUUUCUAUUUAUCAUUUUUAGU